GGUUUUUUAAGUCUGGAGUGAAAGGCGACGGCUCAACCGUCGACGCGCUUCGGAAACUGGGGGACUUGAGGGCAGGAGAGGCGAGCGGAAUUCCCGGUGUAGCGGUGAAAUGCGUAGAGAUCGGGAAGAACACCAGUGGCGAAGGCGGCUCGCUGGACUGGCCCUGACGCUGACGCGCGAAAGCGUGGGGAGCGAACGGGAUUAGAUACCCCGGUAGUCCACGCCGUAAACGAUGGGCAUUAGGUGUGGGAGGUAUCGACCCCUCCCGUGCCGGAGUUAACACACUAAGUGCCCCGCCUGGGGAGUACGGCCGCAAGGUUGAAACUCAAAGGAAUUGACGGGGGCCCGCACAAGCAGUGGAGCAUGUGGUUUAAUUCGACGCAACGCGAAGAACCUUACCCGGGCUUGACAUCCCCGGAACACCCGAGAGAUCGGGUGGCUCUACGGAGCCGGGAGACAGGUGCUGCAUGGUUGUCGUCAGCUCGUGUCGUGAGAUGUUGGGUUAAGUCCCGCAACGAGCGCAACCCUUGUCCCGUGUUACCAGCGUAAAGGCGGGGACUCACGGGAGACUGCCGGUGACAAACCGGAGGAAGGUGGGGAUGACGUCAAGUCAUCAUGGCCUUUAUGCCUAGGGCUACACACGUGCUACAAUGGCUGGUACAGAGGGUCGCAAAGCCGCGAGGUGGAGCUAAUCCCAAAAAGCCAGCCCCAGUUGGGAUUGCAGUCUGCAAC
RNAcentral lists this ribosomal RNA (732 nucleotides) under uncultured Bacillota bacterium. RNAcentral's name for it is "bacterial SSU rRNA". It matches the Rfam family "Bacterial small subunit ribosomal RNA", at positions 577 to 1311 of the family's 1533-position model. Lineage: Bacteria; Bacillati; Bacillota. The record is from RNAcentral.